AGGAUGAACGCUGGCGGCGUGCUUAACACAUGCAAGUCGAACGAUGAAGGCUGGAGCUUGCUCUGGCUGGAUUAGUGGCAAACGGGUGAGUAACACGUGAGUAACCUGCCCCAGACUCUGGGAUAAGCGCUGGAAACGGCGUCUAAUACCGGAUACGAGCUUCCCACCGCAUGGUGAGGAGCUAGGAAAGUAAUUUCGGUCUGGGAUGGACUCGCGGCCUAUCAGCUUGUUGGUGAGGUAAUGGCUCACCAAGGCGACGACGGGUAGCCGGCCUGAGAGGGUGACCGGCCACACUGGGACUG
RNAcentral lists this ribosomal RNA (302 nucleotides) under uncultured soil bacterium. RNAcentral's name for it is "bacterial SSU rRNA". It matches the Rfam family "Bacterial small subunit ribosomal RNA", at positions 26 to 321 of the family's 1533-position model. The record is from RNAcentral.